This 465-nucleotide ribosomal RNA is filed under the name uncultured bacterium. RNAcentral's name for it is "partial 16S ribosomal RNA". It matches the Rfam family "Bacterial small subunit ribosomal RNA", at positions 28 to 507 of the family's 1533-position model. The record is from RNAcentral.
GACGAACGCUGGCGGCGUGCUUAACACAUGCAAGUCGAACGGAAAGGCCCCUUUGGGGGUACUCGAGUGGCGAACGGGUGAGUAACACGUGAGUAACCUGCCCUUGACUUCGGGAUAACUUCAGGAAACUGGGGCUAAUACCGGAUAGGAAUCCUUGCUGCAUGGUGGGGGUUGGAAAGCUUCGGCGGUUUUGGAUGGACUCGCGGCUUAUCAGCUUGUUGGUGGGGUAGUGGCUUACCAAGGCUUUGACGGGUAGCCGGCCUGAGAGGGCGACCGGCCACACUGGGACUGAGGUAAGGCCCAGACUCCUACGGGAGGCAGCAGUGGGGAAUAUUGCACAAUGGGCGCAGGCCUGAUGAAGAAACGCCGCGUGCGGGAUAACGGCCUUCGGGUUGUAAACCGCUUUCAGCAGGGGCGAAGCUUGUGGUGACGGUACCUGCAGAAGAAGCACCGGCUAACUACGUG